This 70-nucleotide transfer RNA is filed under the name Dipodomys ordii (Ord's kangaroo rat). It matches the Rfam family "tRNA". Rfam says of the family: Transfer RNA (tRNA) molecules are approximately 80 nucleotides in length. Their secondary structure includes four short double-helical elements and three loops (D, anti-codon, and T loops). Lineage: Eukaryota; Metazoa; Chordata; Mammalia; Rodentia; Heteromyidae. The record is from Rfam by way of RNAcentral.
GGGAAGGUAGCUCAGAGGUAGAGUGCAUGCUUUGCAAGCAUGAGGCCCUGGGUUUGAUUCCUCAACACCA